Long non-coding RNA from Mesocricetus auratus (golden hamster), 523 nucleotides. RefSeq lists it as uncharacterized. Lineage: Eukaryota; Metazoa; Chordata; Mammalia; Rodentia; Cricetidae. The transcript has 3 exons. The record is from RefSeq and is a predicted model, not a curated record.
CUGUAUAUUGUACGUUUUUUCACUGAAGGACACCUGGUGGAUCCAACUCCCGUGGUUCCAGUUCACCAAACGAAUCCAAAGAUAAGGUGGCCAGAAGACAGAGCUUGAGUUACAGGCAGUUGUGAGCAGCUGGCCCUGAGGGCUGGGAACCAAAGUUGUUCCCUUUGGAAGAACAUGAAAGUCUCUUAAGCAUCGAGAGCCUCCCUCACACCACAAGGUCACAGAAAAAACUGAGAAGCACAAUGUCAAUGAGGUGGAUUCGACAGAAAACCUGAACCUUGGUGCUGCAACUUCAGUUCUUCAAGCACUUGAUGAAAAGGCUAAAGACCAAGUGGAGAACCAAGUAGAGCAUGGGUAAGGCUACAGUGAUUAUUUAACAGCAGACCCUAUUCUCCACUGAAGCUUGUGUGCCUGAUGAACAUGUCCUAUACUUCUUACACCUGGGACACUCUGUCUUGCAUGAUCAUAAGAUGUUAAUCAACAACCAGAUGCUAUUAUUUCCCAUUCUGCUAACAUAUUUUAU